CAUAAUAGCGCCUUCGUCGGUGCCCGCCGCGACCACGCCACGGGCCUAAGAGGGAAUACGGAGCGAUCUGAUGAUCGUGACCGAGCUGCCCCCGCAACUGUAAACAGCGAAUCCUCCGCGCACACGCCACUGGGAAACCGGGAAGGCCGCGGAUGAUGAAGACCUGUCAGCCAGGAGACCUGCCGACGACGCUGGUCGCGA
Molecule: non-coding RNA, 201 nt
Filed under: Pseudomonas sp.
Lineage: Bacteria; Pseudomonadati; Pseudomonadota; Gammaproteobacteria; Pseudomonadales; Pseudomonadaceae
Source: RNAcentral